GAUGAAGAACGUAGCGAAAUGCGAUAAGUAAUGUGAAUUGCAGAAUUCAGUGAAUCAUCGAAUCUUUGAACGCACAUUGCGCCCGCUAGUAUUCUGUCGGGCAUGCCUGUCCGAGCGUCAUUUCAACCCUCAAGCCCCCGGGCUUGGUGUUGGGGAUCGGCGAGCCUCCGCGCCCGCCGUCCCCUAAAUCUAGUGGCGGUCUCGCUGUAGCUUCCUCUGCGUAGUAGCACACCUCGCACUGGGAAACAGCGCGGCCACGCCGUUAAAACCCCAACUUCUGAACGUUUGACCUCGGAUCAGGUAGGAAUACCCGCUGAACUUAAGCAUAUCAAUAAGCGGAGGA
RNAcentral lists this unclassified non-coding RNA (343 nucleotides) under soil metagenome. Its description in RNAcentral is "partial contains 5.8S ribosomal RNA, internal transcribed spacer 2, and large subunit ribosomal RNA". The stretch from base 1 to 120 matches the Rfam family "5.8S ribosomal RNA", at positions 35 to 154 of the family's 154-position model. The record is from RNAcentral.